Molecule: long non-coding RNA, 407 nt
Filed under: Coccomyxa subellipsoidea
Lineage: Eukaryota; Viridiplantae; Chlorophyta; Trebouxiophyceae; Coccomyxaceae
Description: long non-coding RNA (CSUB_LNC000504)
Source: RNAcentral
CACCUGAGAGAAAGUUCGAUUCUGCGAGUCCUAUACUAGGUUAGAACCUCCAACGUCUCCAGAUGUCUGGCAAUUGUUUGUGCACAUACUACACAGUGCUAUGGGCACGCCAAUUUGCUCGUUAGAGGUAGCCUGAUUGAUCAAGUGCAACGCUUGUUCUGUGGACUGAACGUGCAAGCACGCACAAGGGGCCAGAUUCAGUGCUGGGCAGUGCCUGUCCGAUCACUAUGAUAUCAGCCUCACAUAAUCCUGAGCUGGAUCGAAACGAGUCCUGCUGAAAGCAGGAUCCACACACAAGUAAGUGCCGUGUGCCAGCAUUGUUGCGUUGGGAACGACCUCUUGUGUCCUGCAGUGUGGCUGUGCUUCUGAUGUCUCCUGCCUGUAGCAGGACCUGGCUUAAAGGGCGC